UACAGAGGGGGCGAGCGUUGUUCGGAAUUACUGGGCGUAAAGGGCGCGUAGGCGGCCAACUAAGUCAGACGUGAAAUCCCUCGGCUCAACCGGGGAACUGCGUCUGAUACUGGAUGGCUUGAAUUCGGGAGAGGGAUGCGGAAUUCCAGGUGUAGCGGUGAAAUGCGUAGAUACCUGGAGGAACACCGGUGGCGAAGGCGGCAUCCUGGACCGAGAUUGACGCUGAUGCGCGAAAGCCAGGGGAGCAAACGGG
This 253-nucleotide ribosomal RNA is filed under the name uncultured bacterium. RNAcentral describes it as "partial 16S ribosomal RNA". It matches the Rfam family "Bacterial small subunit ribosomal RNA", at positions 524 to 776 of the family's 1533-position model. The record is from RNAcentral.